AACAGUGGGGCUGAUGUCCCCUCAUUUGAACCCUGAGAAACCUUUGUGAUGGCCUCAACCAAAAGAAUACACUAACGGCUGGGAAUGGGGCUCAUGCUUGUAAUCCCAGCACUUUGGGAGGCUGCGGCAGGAUGACCGCUUGGGCUCAGGAGUUCAAGGUUGUAGGGGGCUAUGGUGGCACCACUGCACUCUAACCUAAGCAACAAAACGACGCAGUCUUUAAAGCAACAAAUAAACAAAAAAAUACAGUCGAAAUGAUGCUUCUGAGGCCAGAGCACAAACAUGCCACACACUGCUACCUUGUUCUCUUAGGACUUGCCCUUGGAACCCAGCUGCCAUGCUGUGAGGAAGCCCAAACUAGCCCAACAGAGCUACCACACGGAGAGGACAUGGGUGUUUAGCUAACAUGCCAACUGAGUCCCAGCUGAUACCCAAGCUCAACCACUAGAUAUGUUGCUGCAAGAACAGAAUGGGACAUGCCCAGGUGAGCUGGGUGGGCUGCACGUGAAAGGGCAUGGCUGUGAUCUCAGCCCUAGGCCUCCUCGCCCAGGCUGAGGCUGACCCUGCCCUGCAACAGGUGGAAAAUGGAGCUCCUUUGUGAAAGCUGCCCGCCGGAAGGCCGAUGGGGUGACAAAGAACACGACAGGGCUCCUCCCCCAUCACUCAGAUCAACAGGUUCCCAUACUAACGACUUCUUACUCCUCCUCCUUUGGGUGUCUUUUCCUGAAAACUUCUAAUUUAUCCGCAUGUGGUUUCUAAAAUUAUGAUUAUUUUAGAGAAUCUGAAAAAAAAUCUUUACUAUAAUGAGCAAAAAAGUCUUUGUGACUUAUGUAAAUAAAGACUGAAAAUAGAGUGAUUUAGCUAUUUUCCAAGAUGCUUUAGAGAAGAAAUAAAAACGAUCUACAAAUCUCA
This is a long non-coding RNA of Symphalangus syndactylus (siamang), 912 nucleotides long. RefSeq lists it as uncharacterized. NCBI's taxonomy places the organism in Eukaryota, Metazoa, Chordata, Mammalia, Primates, Hylobatidae. The record is from RefSeq and is a predicted model, not a curated record.